This 380-nucleotide unclassified non-coding RNA is filed under the name uncultured bacterium. RNAcentral describes it as "contains 16S-23S intergenic spacer region". The record is from RNAcentral.
UCCGGUUUGUCACCGGCAGUCUCCCUAGAGUUCCCACCAUUACGUGCUGGCAACUAGGGACAAGGGUUGCGCUCGUUGCGGGACUUAACCCAACAUCUCGCGACACGAGCUGACGACAGCCAUGCAGCACCUGUCUCGCGGCUCCCGAAGGCACCCGCCCAUCUCUAAGGCUUUCCGGUGUAUGUCAAACCCAGGUAAGGUUCUUCGCGUUGCAUCGAAUUAAUCCGCAUGCUCCGCCGCUUGUGCGGGCCCCCGUCAAUUCCUUUGAGUUUUAGCCUUGCGGCCGUAGUCCCCAGGCGGCGGACUUAAUGCGUUAGCUGCGGCGCCGAGGGGGUCGAUACCCCCGACACCUAGUCCGCAUCGUUUACGGCGUGGACUAC